GUGUAAAUCCCUCGCAAACAGCUUGGAAAAACGGACAAAAAAGAAUCUACGCCCUUCUUCAAUUAAGAAAAAGCUCUGUUUUUCUUAACCCGUAACUUCCACUGGGUCUUGGACCCAAGCUGUUUCUUGGCUCGGAAAAAACAAAG
Long non-coding RNA from Syngnathus acus (greater pipefish), 146 nucleotides. RefSeq lists it as uncharacterized. The record is from RefSeq and is a predicted model, not a curated record. The transcript is spliced from 3 exons. NCBI's taxonomy places the organism in Eukaryota, Metazoa, Chordata, Actinopteri, Syngnathiformes, Syngnathidae.